Molecule: signal recognition particle RNA, 99 nt
Filed under: Planctomycetota bacterium
Lineage: Bacteria; Pseudomonadati; Planctomycetota
Description: Planctomycetes bacterium signal recognition particle sRNA small type
Rfam family: Bacterial small signal recognition particle RNA
About the family: The signal recognition particle (SRP) is a universally conserved ribonucleoprotein involved in the co-translational targeting of proteins to membranes. Archaeal SRP consists of a 7S RNA and homologues of the eukaryotic SRP19 and SRP54 proteins.
Source: RNAcentral
GGCCGGGUCCCAUGCAAUGGGGCCGAUGGACAACGGGUCAGGACCGAGAGGUAGCAGCCCAACCAACGUGUCUCAGGUGCCGUGGCCCACCUGGCCCUC